CCACUGUCCAGCACUAGCAAGGGACAAAUGGAUGUUUGUCUCUUAGGAAAAAAAAGGAUUCAGCGUGGAAACAGCUCUGGAUACUCCUCACUCUUCACCUUGCCCAUAUCAUUCAUAUGCCUCCAAAGGCGGGAAUUUGAAGGAGAUGAAGAGCAAGAUAGCAGGCAUUGAGCACUGUGGGGAAAUGCGACUUGAUGAUGCAAGAAUCCAUGGCAUCUCUGCUACCUCAGCAAGGCAUCUGCACCCUGGGGUGCAUCAGCCCCUGGACUUCUGCACAGCAGUGUCUUUGUCUCCUUGGCCCCGGGAAGUUGCCCCUUUUCUCUGGAGGACACCAGGAAGGAGAGGGGCCAUAGCACAUCCCUCACAGCUGCAGGAGCUGCCAGCCUGGCCACUCAGGGUCCUUCAAAGAAUUUAUAUUCUGGAGGGUCUGUGACAUGAAGGGCUCUUUAUUU
This is a long non-coding RNA of Pongo pygmaeus (Bornean orangutan), 452 nucleotides long. RefSeq lists it as uncharacterized. Lineage: Eukaryota; Metazoa; Chordata; Mammalia; Primates; Hominidae. The record is from RefSeq and is a predicted model, not a curated record. The transcript has 2 exons.